This 306-nucleotide ribosomal RNA is filed under the name Triticum aestivum (bread wheat). RNAcentral's name for it is "partial small subunit ribosomal RNA". Lineage: Eukaryota; Viridiplantae; Streptophyta; Magnoliopsida; Poales; Poaceae. The record is from RNAcentral.
GAAGGACUGAAGCUAGCGAGGGAAACAGGAUGCCAUAAUGUGAUAGUAAGAUCGGACAAUAUCACGGUGGUGGAGGCACUCAAAUUCAAUGGUGGCUACUCCAUGGUGGCAGCACCGUUAUUUGAUGAAUGUCGUAGUUUUCUCGAAGACUUUAGGAGGUUUACUAUCGAGCAUUGUAUUAGAGAGUUAAAUAGCGUAGCUCAUGAGCUAGCAAGAUGGGGUAGUGCUAUUAAUCCAUCUCGCUGGAUUGACGCCCCGCCUGAUUUCAUUGUAAAUCUUUUGGCAGACGAUGUUUCUAUUCUUUGA